Molecule: long non-coding RNA, 606 nt
Organism: Xenopus laevis (African clawed frog)
Lineage: Eukaryota; Metazoa; Chordata; Amphibia; Anura; Pipidae
Exons: 2
Source: RefSeq, a predicted model, not a curated record
AGAAGCUGUCGGUAUCCGAAAGUAAAAAAGACGCGACACGUCUGGUGGUGGGGAGAGUAGUGGCACCUGCUGGGGACGAAUAUUCCAGGGGAUGGGACUGACUCCCACAGAUAAUGUGCUGCUGGACAUACCAAAUUCCACAGACUGAAAGGGAAUCAUGUGUCUUCUGCAGGGACCUUUUCCCUACCCUACUUGGGCACACGGUGAUCCAACCCCAUUGUGAAAUGACAGAUUCUGCAAUAUAAAAUCCAUCUGCUUUCUAGGGAAUCUGCACACAGCCCAUUAUGGAAAGUAGAGUGACUUAGUCCCAGAAUCCAUUGCUUCACAGUGGAACAAGGUGAGGGAGGGGAGGCAUUACACUGUGAACCUAUGGGACAUUGAGCAAUGGUUUGUAUGAGAAAAAUUGCUUCCUAUCAUUUUGUGGAAUCAGGGAUGUCUAUGUAAAAAAAUAAUUUAUAUCUGGAAGUUCAGAUAGUAUUCAUGCACCUUUUCUACAUAACGGACUGUGCUUGUGUAAAUAUGGGGUAUUUUUCCCUUUAAAUGCCUUGAGCAAAAUGUUAUAUCUUGUGUGUAGAUCCACACAAUAGUUAUUUUUGUUCUAUCACA